CAGAGGAUGUUUCUGGCGCGGUGCCUUCCGAGUUCCCUGGAACGGGACGCCAUAGAGGGUGAGAGCCCCGUAUGGUUGGAUACUAAGCCUGUGUGAAACUCCUUCGACGAGUCGAGUAGUUUGGGAAUGCUGCUCAAAAUGGGAGGUAAAUCUCUUCUAAAGCUAAAUAUUGGCCAGAGACCGAUAGCGCACAAGUAGAGUGAUCGAAAGAUGAAAAGCACCUUGAAAAGGGGGUUAAACAGUACGUGAAAUUGUUGAAAGGGAAGCGCUCAUGACCAGACUUGUGCUGGGCAGCUCAUCCGGGGUUCUCCCCGGUGCACUCUGCCCAGUUCAGGCCAGCAUCGAUUUUUGCUGGGGGAUAAGAACGGUAGGAACGUGGCCCUCCUUCGGGUGGGUGUUAUAGCCUGCCGUACGAUACCCUGGCGGAGAUCGAGGUUCGCGCAUCUGCAAGGAUGCUGGCGUAAUGGUCAUCAGCGACCCGUCUUGAAACACGGACCAAGGAGUCGUCCAUUAGAGCGAGCGUUUGGGUGUAAAACCCGCACGCGUAAUGAAAGUGAAAUUAGGUGAGAGCUUCGGCGCAUCAUCGACCGAUCCUGAUGUUCUCGGAAGGAUUUGAGUAAGAGUUUUAACGGACGGACCCGAAAGACAGUGAACUAUGCUUGUAUAGGGUGAAGCCAGAGGAAACUCUGGUGGAGGCUCGCAGCGGUUCUGACGUGCAAAUCGAUCGUCAAAUAUGAGCAUGGGGGCGAAAGAC
RNAcentral lists this ribosomal RNA (754 nucleotides) under Coniella quercicola. RNAcentral describes it as "partial large subunit ribosomal RNA". It matches the Rfam family "Eukaryotic large subunit ribosomal RNA", at positions 151 to 931 of the family's 3401-position model. The record is from RNAcentral. Lineage: Eukaryota; Fungi; Ascomycota; Sordariomycetes; Diaporthales; Schizoparmaceae.